Non-coding RNA from Petromyzon marinus (sea lamprey), 6738 nucleotides. Lineage: Eukaryota; Metazoa; Chordata; Hyperoartia; Petromyzontiformes; Petromyzontidae. The record is from RefSeq and is a predicted model, not a curated record.
UUCACCACGCUGGCCAUGCUUCACCACGCUGGUCAUAGUUCACCACGCUGGCCAUACUUCACCACGCUGGGCAAUGGGAUUUGGCGAAUGCGAAUACAAUCACAAUAAAGCGAUUGACAGUGAACGCGAUUUCAUAACGGCGACCGUAGCUGAAGUCUCACCGCCCUGGCCAUCUGUGUGCAGUCUAAUAACCAAAAUUUAAACAUCAUCACUUGCACGCGAGACGAUUUUACUGAACUAAUUUGCAACAAAUAAAGCGUUCAACGAAACGACAAAAGAAUCUUCCACGUAUGCGCAGGCCCGAGACGGCGAGGGCGACCUCGACUAGCGGCUUCGGCCGCGCGAGCUGCGAGGCAACGCGGCCACCGCGACAGUACCAAUGGCUGUACAAAGAUGUUGGAGUUCAUCCGUCAUUACUACUCGACUCAGUGCCCAGAGCGCUCCCUCCCUCCUCCCCAUCUCAGCAGCGCGGUCUUGCUGGCUUCCAGCGUCAACUGCAAGUUCCCCUCGCAGGUCCUGCAUCUCCCUGUUGCUGGGGUUGGUGAAGUCUAGGUGUGGCCACAGACAGCCGCGCAAGUAACUGUGCGAAGGCUGCAAAGAGGUCAUGGCAGCUCGCCACCUCUCGCCAUCCCUCCUCGGCAUGUGGCUGCCAUGGAUCAGCGCCUCUCUCCCCCGACUCCACAGCCGCCGCUCACGUGCCUGCGGGAUCUCCGACCGAGAUCGCGAAUCCUGGGGCUGUCCGAGGGGUCCCGUCAACGUCGUCCUCCUCAUCCGAAGAUGCUACCGGUGGGUUCGUUUUACGUAGACUCUUAGACAUCAUGUCUAAACACUUCUGACACCACAUGUAAUGUAGGACUCCAGAGACAAUAACUGUAGAGGCACCUUCUUUAUUUAUAUUACUCAUACUCACAUUGCAUGACUCACUGAGCACAUAACGUAACGCUGACCGUCAAGCUCGACGGCGCUAACUAACUGGAUAGCUGGCUGACUAUCCAGCAGUGGUGACGUCGGGCGAUGACAAGGACAACAGCCACAACAGAGACAACGAGGACGAUUUCCAUGGCGAGACGACCCUGAUUCCCACAGACAGCCUCGAGCUUCCUCUCUUGCCCCCUUUCAUGCUUCCAGCGGGGCCCGGCCCUGCCCUGGCCAUGCCCCCCUUCUCGAACCUUCUAGCUGGUUCUGGGAGCUCAAAGAUGGAUCCCUUCCAUGACCUUUGGCCCAGUUCUUAUCACUUCUAUGACCCUUGCCCCAGUUCUUCCCCUUGUGGACUUUCCCGUGUUUACUUUCUCCCCUUGGGUGGAUAAACCCACAAUUGCUACUUCUGGCCGCCAGUCGGCGCUGCUACACGACGUAUGUAUUCAGGUGUUAUCGGUCAAUUAAUGAGUGCUUACAUGUGGGAGGAAACCAGAGUAACCGGAGAAAACACCAUGCCUGCGAGGGGGAAAUGCUCUAUGCCCGUGUAGUGACAUCUCAGGCAGGGGCUAGGGGGUGGUCAUGUGUCAGGGUGAGAUCCUACGGAAAGAGUCGAGAAACGACAAGAGGUUUCUCGAAGGUGGUCGUGGCCAAGGGUGGGGCCAACCAUGACCCGGGAGCAUAUAAACCAGGUCCCCACAGGAACUGGGGCUCUGUGUUGCUGUUGUCAACGGAAGAUCUACAAUAUGCAUUCUACGUCCAAGAGAAGUAGUCACCAACACGUGGACGAGGACCCAAGCCAGGGUCCUGUCUGCUGUAGCUACUCCCAGUAACUAGCGUAGUUAGCCUGGUGGUCCACCACCAUAGGUUAUCUGGUAAAGGGACAGUAACCCCUUUGUGUUAAUAUGUUGGUGUAAAUGAAUGUGUUGCCUCCAAGAAUUACGUCUGCGAUUCAGUUGAAUCCACGACAACUGGUGUCGGAAGUGGCCAAAAGCAUUGCUUUACUUAGCUAGCUGUUAGACUAUGUCUACGCGCUGCAGACUACGUACCAGGACGUCGGACGAUGAAGACGAAGAUCUCAUCCCGCAAACAGCCCCGGAGGAGGGAGAUGAAGCGUUGCCGGUGGAUUAGAGCACCGACCAGGCACGCGACUGCUCCACACCGAUGGGGAGGGUGCUCUCGGCUGCACACGGCCACCUCGCAGAGCUCCUCCAUGCCGCGGCGUCCAUCCUCGCGGAGCUCCACAUCAUGGAGCCAGCGGUGGAAGCGGGAGCAACGGAGCCACGUGGCGACGAAGAUCCCGCCGCCAUUUCCGGCCAAGCGGAAACCUCCGUGGCGCAACCCGCGCUUGCAGCCGCCAUCUUCUCCGAAGAGCGGAGCGCGGGACCUGCCAAAUCCAAAGUUGCGUCAAAAUCGCCGGUGGACAUUCCAUCUCUCCAGCAAAGACUUCCCUUCGUAAAAUAAUUUACAGCCGCCGGAGGCGACUGGGUGGCCUUCAAGCGGUGGUUCCUGACGAACGCCGACUUGGCAGGGUGGACGGAGGCGGAGGCGCUGAUAGCGCUGCCCGCCGCCCUUGAUGACGACACCCUGGCAGCGUUCCUUAUCAUCCCGCCAUCGGAGAGUGCCACGUUGACUCAAGCCUUCGACCAAAUGGCAGCCAUUUACGAGCCACCGUCCAACGUACGCUACAAGUUCGCUACGCAAAAGAAAGGGGAAACCGAGACGCCCCCUUGCCUUCCGUAGCACACUUUUGGUGGUAGUGAAGGCUGCCUUUCCAAGAAAGGACCACGACGGAGUCGACUCGUUGGUUCUUGAGAGACUGCUAGCUUUGGCUAAGGACCUCAACAUUGUUCUGCCAGCUGUAGACGACGAUCUAUCGUCCAUCAGGGUUGCAAAAUGUAUUCAGGCUCACGAUCUCCUGCAACGGCACAAGAGGUCGGUGGCGUGUUCCGUGUCCCGCGAGGGGCCGAAUACACCUGAAGAUGUGGAGCCCGUCCCAGCCUGCGCAUUGACCCAGAGUGGAGGCGGGCGAGGGGACGGCAUGGUGUGGCUGGCGGACGACCAGCGACGGUGGAAGACAUCUCCUCAUUCCGAGAGCAGCCCUGUCAUGUGCUACAGCUGCGGCCUGCCGGGAUACGUCUCGUCGGGCUGCCGCGUACCACGACGAUGCCUCCCCGGACCACCGCCAUCAUCCGCCCGACCGUCCUUCACUCCACUGCACCCUAAGACGAGUGGCGACACAUUCCACACUCGGCCCCUGAAUCCAUCUGACCCAUCUCGUGCGUUCGGGUUUUGUGCCGGUCGCGGGUCGGGGCGGGAGGAUUUUGAUGUUGAUCGGGCCGGCUGGACGCUCCGACCGGGUCAUUGGUUGGAGCUCGCCAAUAGAGUGGUAGCCACGACUGCAGGUUCAUCCACUGUUGUUGGACUGAUAGAAGGGGUGGAGAUUAGGAUGCUCGUUGACACCGGUGCAUCAGCGACCAUCAUUUCAGAAUUUAUUUAUAAUAUCUUACCCCGUAAAUGUCGUUCCUUAUUGGGAAAAUAACAGUGGAGGUGUGCAUUGCGGAUGUUAAAUUGACAGGAUAGGUCCUUGUUUCGACAUCCCUUGCUAUUCCUUGCUUGCUCAGGACUGAUUUUUUGGGAUGAAUGCCCCUGAAAAUUUUUAUUGACCAGGGGUGCCUGGAAUUACCAUCCGGCCAUUGAAUGUCAUUUUUGCCUUCUCCCACCCGCCUAUACACGGCUAAUGCUACCGUGCAAGGACUUGCAUGUAGGAUGGUGAGGAUUCCCCCCCGGCACGCAAAUGUUGGUUCCCCUAUCAUUGCAGAAACCACUAGACCGGGAGUUGACGGCGAGAGGAAUUCUCUUGGGGGCGCAGAUGUUGGUAUCCAACGAUCAGGAACCCUUCAUUGAGGUCCUUAACGCAGGGUUAGACACGUCAGUCAUCCAAGAAGGUACCAUGCUAGCUCAUGCGUCGCCAGCGCUUCCUGAGGGAAGCAUUGUUGGCAAUGUGCGUGCCGCGUCGAAUGUGCGGCCGCACCAGAAACUUGAUGAGGGGUGGAUAGAGAAGCUGUGUUCCGAAAAUGUGGUAUUGUCCGGGUGUUUUAAGUAAAGGGAAAUUUGAUAUUGGACGCACUAUGCUUUUAAGUCAUCACAUUGAUACGGGUGACGCCGCUCCCAUCCAGCAGAAUUCCUACCGGGGAGCCCUGCGGAAAAAUUACACGUUCCGCUGGCGGUUGACGAAAUGUUAGCCGCGGACAUUAUUUCACCGUCCCCCAGCCCAUGGGGAGCACCAAUUGUACCUGUUAAAAAGCACAAUGGUAGCUUGCGCUUUUGUGUUGACUUCCGUAAGCUUAAUAAGGUCUCUGUCGCUGAUGUGUACCCUUUACCUCGAAUGGAUGACUCACUGGAUGCUCUAGUCAGAGUGCGGUUCUUUUCCACUCUCGAUCUCCUAUCCGGGUUCUGGCAGUUACCACUAGACGAAGCCUCUAAGCCCAAGACAGCCUUUCGUACACCACAAGGCUUGUUCGAAUUCAAUCGGCUUCCAAUGGGUCUUCAUUCCGCGCCGAUCACGUUCCAGCAAUUGAUGGAACUGGUCCUGGCUGGUCUCCAGUGGGACUCGUGCUUGAUAUACCUGCAACGGCUACGCGCUGUUUUUCUAAAAAUGCGUGCGGCCAACCUGAAAUUUAAAUCGCAGAAAUGUCACUUCCUCCAGAAAUUGGCCACAUAGUGAGUGAAUCGGGUAUUGCGACUGACCCGGACAAAACCGCGUGUGUUCGAACUUGGCCGACCCUCAUGUCGGUGGGGGAGGUAUGCAGUUUCAUAGGAUUCGCGUCCUAUUACCACCGUUUUGUCCCCGGGUUUGCUACGAUCGCUAAGCCUCUCCACGCCUUGAUGGCUAAGGGUCAUAAAUUCCAUUGGGGGGAGGAGGAGGCCGCAUUUGUUGCGCUCCGGGAUGGCUUGGUGAAUGCCACUCCCCACCACUACCCCGAUUUUUCAUUGCCGUUUGUCCUUUAUACAGAUGCUAGUAACACCGGAAUUGGAGCUGUUCUGUCCCAAGUUGUCAAUGGCAUCGAGAGUGUUGUCGCAUACGGCAGCAGGGUGCUGUCUCCGGCCGAACAACGGUAUUGUGUCACACGCUGAGAACUGUUGGCCAUUGUGUUUUUUGUGCAACAGUAUCGUCCCUAUUUGUAUAGUAGACACUUUGAGGUGCGCUCUAACCACGCAGCGCUACAAUACGCGCUGCGUGCUGAUCAGCCGUCUGGCCAACUUUCACGCUGGUUGAAGGUCCUCCAGGAUUACUCCUUUAAGGUUACCUAUCGCAAGGGCUCCCGUCACACGAACGCUGACGCGCUGUCGCGAUUACCAACGAGCGGCGGGUGCGCCUGCUUUUCAGGGGCUCUGGGCCCUGUAAGCCGGCUGCUGAGCCCUCAUCCCCUCCCCUCGCGGCGUUGGCCGACUCGGUAACAUCUGAGUUGGCCAAGGGUCCGGCGGUGCGUGACACUGUUAUUGGGUUGGACCAUGCAGAAUGGGGGUGCCUCCAGGAGGAGGACUCCUCCCUGCUUAAAUUGCCACGCCGUGUCAGAGAAUCUGAGGGGGGACUGCUCAUGCAUUGGGAUGGAGGUUUGCACCAAUACAACAUUGUUGUGCCCACUGCCCUACGGGGCAAGGUCAUCUGUACGGUACACGAGCACUUGUUGCACCUAGUUUUGCAUAAGACGCUGGCCACACUUAAGUUGGACUUCUUCUGGCCUGACAUGGCUGAGGAUGUCGCUAAUUUGUUGAAAGGGUGUGUGCAGUGCGCGCGGCGGAAGCCGCCGGUGAAACCCUGUUGUCCACCAUUACAAUUAAUUCAGGUUUCCCGCGUGAAUGAGUUGGUUGCGCUUGACAUCCUUGGUCCGUUUCCCACUACUCCUCGUGGGAAUAAGUACUUGCUGGUGGGAGUAGAGUAUUUUUCACGAUGGCCUGUGGCCUAGCCGCUCCCCAACCAGUCAGCGGCGACGAUCACUGAGGCAUUCCUCAAUGGCUAUGUAAUCGGGUGCUCCCGAACGUCUUCUGACUGACCAGGGCAAAAAUGUUUCUUCAAAGAUGUUGCGGGAGGUGUGCAAUUUGUUGGGAACAAAGAAAGUACGCACGUCACCGUACCACCCGCAAACGGAUGGCAUGGUGGAGCGCCGAUGUAGGGACGUAAGUAGCGUCCCUACGGGGUGUAUGCUGUAAGCACCCAUGAUUUAUGCGAGCGAGUGCACGUACCUCUGCAGGGAGUUGACGGAGACAUUGCGGGAAGCGGGCCCUGCUCGGCGGGGUCCCGUCGCUAGAAGAGAGAGGGGACGUGCCGGCUCAGGGGAGUUAAGGAGGCCCGGAAAUGAGGGCCCGAGGACAUGUGAUGCUGGCUCCUGUUCCGUCUCGAGAGACUGAGCAGGGGCAUGGCCGGUGGUGGCAUGAGGCCAGGCUCGGGGGAGGAGAAGAGGAACGGGGGCGAAGCAGAGGACGGAGUCCAGCGUGGAAAGCAAUCGGUGCCGCACGCAUGACGUCCCCAGCGCCGCUGCCUGCGCCGUCUCCACUGGAUUUGGGAAGGGAAAACCCGUCGACCCGGCCUACUGCUCUUCGUGAGGAGCCGGGCUCCACGGGACAUUUGCAUGUUCCCCCCCCCGGGACCUCCAGGGAGAGUGAGUCCACCUUCCCUGGAGGCCCGGUCACGAUGGCUCGUUAUAAAACUCUUCAGGUUUCGUGAUCCCCAUGCACACACACUCCCACACCCUCGGUUGGUUGUCACACUCGGUCAGCCGUAUCGGUUAUUGGCUGAACCUAGCCCUUAUUGUGCUUGCG